CCCUUAGAUGUCCGGGGCCGCACGCGCGCUACACUGUUCGACGCAGCGAGUCUUAACCUUGACCGAAAGGUUUGGGUAAUCUUCAGCAAAGUCGAACGUGAUGGGGAUCGAUCAUUGCAAUUAUUGAUCGUGAACGAGGAAUUCCUAGUAAGUGCAAGUCAUCAGCUUGCGCUGAUUACGUCCCUGCCCUUUGUACACACCGCCCGUCGCUACUACCGAUUGAAUGGUUUAGUGAGAUCUCUGGAUUGACGCUGGCUAGGGGGCGACCCUUGGCCAGGCUGUCGAGAAACUGCUCAAACUUGAUCAUUUAGAGGAAGUAAAAGUCGUAACA
Molecule: ribosomal RNA, 331 nt
Filed under: uncultured eukaryote
Lineage: Eukaryota
Description: partial 18S ribosomal RNA
Rfam family: Eukaryotic small subunit ribosomal RNA
Source: RNAcentral